GCACGCGCCGCAGCCGCGCGGGGCGGGGGGUGCGGAGGGUGGGUGUGCUUGGGGCGCGCGCGCCGCCGCCGCUGCCGCCUCAGCCUGCUGCACCGCCCGCGCCGCCUGCUCCCGGCGCUCGGCCCCAGCACGCCGGCUACCGAGCGGCCAUGGGCGGCGCGGGGUUCGCGGUGUAGAGUCCGCCAGUCCCGGACCCGCGUCCCGCACCCUGACGGUCCCGGCAAUUUGGGCAUGUGAGACUGUCUACCCAGGAGAUCAUGAUCUGCAUAGAGGCAAGGCCUGUGUCUUGGUGACUGUUAUGUCUGCCAUAGUUCCUGGAAGACAGAAUCCUAGGCUCCUCACUUGAAGAAGAAAGAGCUCCUGCAUCCCUGGACACAUCUGGCACUUGAAAUCCCUUCCUUCGCUGAAGGUGUUCAGCCUGCUGAUCUUGGAUGCUGACAUUGGUUGACUGGGCAGCUGACUGUGUUAAGGAUUUCGGAUCCGUUAAUUGUAACUUUGUGGGGGUUACAGAUGGAAGUGAAAGAUCUUUGGAGUGCAGGGAACCCUGACUCUGCUCCAAAGAGAGACUAGACAUGGACAAAAUCUCUAGGCAAGAGGAGUCCUGCGAUGGCCCCGAUGAAGGUGGAGAGAUCAGGGUGUUCUCACCCACCAGCAACUGCUGAAUCUCCAGAGCCACGGCAUUGCAGAUGGGGCAGGACCACUGUGAACCUAAGCCCAGAGCAGAACUGGAAGACUCCUCCUUCCUGAGACACCUGAUCCCCUUCUGCCCUGACAACCCUCUCAACCAGUCCUCAGCAUCCACUGUGUCUGACGCCCUCCCAGGCCAAGCAGAGAAAUCAUCACAGGCCAGGCUGGGAGUUUGGAGACUGCAAAGAGCUUUCAGGGACUUGGAACCUAAUGCCUCCAAAUUCUAGACGUUGUCAUCUCUGCCUCACAGAAGAUGGAACCAGGUCACUAGACUACAUCACAAAGCUCUCCUAUUUCAAAAGGUCCAGUAUCCAGUGCUGCGAGUUCAACCACCUCCAGAACCCUAGGACACUCCGUCCCUCACCAGUGGGAUGAAGAGAAGCAAGAAGACAGCCAGGAAGCAGCCCUCACAAGACACUGAAUCUACCAGCACCUUAAUCUUGGACUUCCCAGCCCCAGAACUGUGAGAAUUAAUUUCUGUUGUUUAUAAGCCACCUAGUCUAUUGUUUUUUGAUACAGAAGCCCAAGCAUACUAAGAUAGUCUUCAAGCUAUCACAGUCAUCAUAAGCAGCAGUCUGUAUUAUCCACCCAAGUAACAGUUAUUAACUCUCAAGUACCCAUACUCCAGUGAGAGAAUACACUACUAUAAAUAUUCAAAUCCAUGAACAGCCUCCUGAGAAGAACUAAGAAGAUGUCACAAACAUUAAAACUGCCUCACCUUCUCUCUAUAUCUUCUUUUUACCUCCUCCUUCUCCUAACAUUAGGGCCCUUUAGUCAGUGGAACUAGCUAGCCAUUUGUAACCCUUUCAGAGAAUUUCAGCUGAAAUCUGGAUACCCAGCCCACUCUGAUGUGGUAUUUGCCUUUCAUGCUUAAUUUGUCUAUAACAUUACAAAUUUCAUACUCCUACAUUUCUACUGUUAAAAUCAUAAUACUAUUUUAGUACUUCUCUUUUGCAAGUGAAAUUAGCAUUAACAUCUAAAAUUGAAAAGUUGUUGGUUGUUGCCCUAAUGUGUCUAAGGGCUUAAUCCAAGCCUGAAGUCUAAAUUCUCAGUGCCUAAGAUGACCUAUGUUUUGUGCAGGUUUCUCAGCAUACUUAAGUGCUACUGUGGACUUAUACCUGGGUCUCUUUGUAUCAGAGGAUGACCAGGUUGACUUUUCCUUUGGUAAAAUGGAAAGAACCUGAGAUCAGAGACAUCAUCUGGGAGUAUUCUCCUGAAAUGUUCUCUUGUUCUUUACCCUUACAGGAUUUUCCAACAGAAGGGCAGAGCAUGGAUGCCUCUCCAUUAAAGGAGGCACCAGGAAUCCUGUGGGCCUCAUGUCUAGAAUAAAAAAUCUUGGAAGGUUUUUUCUAGAUAUGCCUCCUAAGGCAAGGGAAAUAAAAGCAAAAAAUAAACUAUUGGGACUACAUCAAAGUAAAAAGCUUCUGCACAGCAAAGGAAACAAUCAACAAAACAAAAAGACAACCUAUUGAAUGGGAGAAAAUAUUUGCAAAUGAUACAUCUGAGAAAGAGUUAGUAUCCAAAAUAUAUUAAGAACUUCUACAGCUCAACACCCAAAAAACAAAUAACCCAAUUAAAAAAAUGGGUAGAAGACAUGAACAGACAUUUCUCCAAAGACAUACAGAUGGCCAACGGACAUGAAAAAAUUGAACAUUACUCAUCAUCAGGGAAAUGCAAAUCAAAACCACAAUGAGCUAUCACCUCACACCUGUCAAAAUGGCUAAAAUCAAAAACAUGAAAUAACAAGUUUUUUAAAGAUUUAUUUAUUUAUUUGAGAGAGGGAGGGAGUGGGGGGAAGGGCAGAGAGAGCGAGAGAGAGAGAGAGAGAGAGAAUCUUAAGCAGGUUCCACACCCAGUGUGAAGCCCUACUCAGGGCUUGAUCUGACGACCCUAAGAUCACAACCUGAGCCAAAACCAACAGUCAGAUGCUUAAUUGACUGUGCCACCCAGGCACCCCAAGAAAUAAGUUUUGUGAGGAUGUGGAGAAAAAGGAACCCUCAUGCACUGUUGGUAGGAAUAUAAACUGCUACAGCCACUAUGGAAAACAGUAUGGAGGUUCCUCAAAAAAUUAAAAAUAAAAUCACUAUAUGAUUCAAUAAUCCCACUAUUGGGUAUUUACCCAAAGAAUACAAAAACACUAAUUCAAAAAGAUAUAUGCACCCUUAUGUUUACUGAAGAAUUAUUUACAAUAGCCAAAUUAUGGAAGCAACCCAAGUGUCCAACAAUAAAUAAAUGGAUAAAGAAGGUAUGGUUUAUAUAUAUAAUGGAAUGUUACUCGGCCAUAAAAAAGAAUGAAAUCUUGCCAUUUGCAGCAACAUGGAUGGAUCUAGAAGGUAUAGUGCUAAGCGAAAGAAGUCCAUCAGAUAAAGACAAAUACCGUAUGAUUUUACUCAUAUGUGGAAUUUAAAAAACAAAACAAACAAAGAAAAAAGAGACAAAGAACCAGACUCUUAAAUAUACAAAACAAGCUGGUGAUUACAGGGGGUGGGAGGAGAUGGGUUAGGGAAUGGGUGAAAGAGAUGAAGGGGAUUGAGCAUACACAUAUCCUUUUUUAUUUUUUAGAUUUUAUUUUUAUGUAUUCUCAACACAACACAACAUGGGGCUCAAACUCACAACCCCGAGACCAACAGUCACAUACUCUACUAACUGAGCCAGCCAGGUGCCCCAAGAGUACACAUAUCUUGAUGAGCACUGAGUAAUGUAUAGGAUUGUUGAAUCACUAUACUGUACACCUUAAAUUAAUAUAACACUGUACAGUAAUUAUACUGGAACUAAAUACAUAAAUAAAAAUUAAAAAAAAAAAAGCCUUAGAGUUUUGCAGCUAGUGCUCACGUCCAGAGCAGAAUCAAGGUAGUGUCUCAGGAAAGUGGCUAGAAGGAAGCAGAAGAGCCCUAAACAUAUUCCCAUAAAGAUCAGGGACAUUUACUCCUGGUACUUAUGAAGAUUUCUAAUAAUUAUGUGACUGUUGUUCUUAUUUUAUGUAAUUUUGCCAUUAGGGAGCUAACAUUUUAAGCAGAACAAAGAAACUAAUAAACUUUUCAGACAGGGCCAGCGACAUGCAGAGGAACUUCCCAGAUGAUCUUUUUGACAUCUUUUUCAAUUUUAUAACUCUAUUCUAACCCUAAAAAUCUAAAAAUUGUUCAUAAACUCCUUUCAGCUUCUGAAGAGUAAGGAAUACAUUAGGAAACUGCAUCCCAAUUUAGAUGUAUCUAGGCAAGAACCCAGCCUAAGAAGACAUUGGUGGCAGCAGGAAAAGAAAGCAAGAGGCCAAAUCCAUGACCUAUAGAACUCAAAAUUAACUUGUUUCAAAAUUAUCUUGGAAGGGACUCUGGCUUGCAUCUCAAUCCAUAGCCCCAAUAUCCUAAAAGAAAGAAAAGUGCAAGUCUAUGUUGCAGGGGUAGUAUUUCUCCAGAAAUCACCUAAGUUUGAGAAGGCAACAGCGAGAAUCUGAGGCUCCUCUCUAAUUCCAGAACCUUCUCUCUGGUCUUCAGGCACCUGACAUAUCCCAGGGAUUGAAUCCUGCUUCUGUCUACUCAUCUUUUCAGCAUAGCCAAUAUACCUCUCUCUUUAUCUCAUCUCUUCAAAGCAGGCUCUGGGCUAAGUUCAGAAUGCCUUUAUGUGUUAUUCCCUCCCACUGCUGCCAUCCCACUACACUGUCUGCGGCCCCAAGCCAUGACCGAAUGUCAGGAAACAGCCCAUUUUUUUCCAUGCUGAAACAGCAUGGGAAAAUGCUUAGGAAAUGUAUGCUGAAUAAACUAUAUACAAAUAUAUACUAAGGCAAUUUAAAAAGAAUAAUAUUGUAGUGAAAUUAUGGAUAAUUCUUCUAUUUUAAAAAAUUUCAACAGUAUUGGGGCACCUGGGUGGCUCAGUUGGUUAAGCAACUGCCUUCAGCUCAGGUCAUGAUCCCG
Mirounga angustirostris (Northern elephant seal) is the source of this 4595-nucleotide long non-coding RNA. RefSeq lists it as uncharacterized. NCBI's taxonomy places the organism in Eukaryota, Metazoa, Chordata, Mammalia, Carnivora, Phocidae. The transcript is spliced from 7 exons. The record is from RefSeq and is a predicted model, not a curated record.